UGAGGUAUGGCUCAGUAGUAGAGUGCUUGCCUACUAUGUGUAAGACUCUGGGUUUAAUCCCCAGCCUCUCAA
Molecule: transfer RNA, 72 nt
Filed under: Ictidomys tridecemlineatus (thirteen-lined ground squirrel)
Lineage: Eukaryota; Metazoa; Chordata; Mammalia; Rodentia; Sciuridae
Description: Spermophilus tridecemlineatus (thirteen-lined ground squirrel) tRNA
Rfam family: tRNA
About the family: Transfer RNA (tRNA) molecules are approximately 80 nucleotides in length. Their secondary structure includes four short double-helical elements and three loops (D, anti-codon, and T loops). Further hydrogen bonds mediate the characteristic L-shaped molecular structure. tRNAs have two regions of fundamental functional importance: the anti-codon, which is responsible for specific mRNA codon recognition, and the 3' end, to which the tRNAs corresponding amino acid is attached (by aminoacyl-tRNA synthetases). tRNAs cope with the degeneracy of the genetic code in two manners: having more than one tRNA (with a specific anti-codon) for a particular amino acid; and 'wobble' base-pairing, i.e. permitting non-standard base-pairing at the 3rd anti-codon position.
Source: Rfam by way of RNAcentral